RNAcentral lists this unclassified non-coding RNA (296 nucleotides) under fungal sp. Its description in RNAcentral is "partial internal transcribed spacer region". The stretch from base 1 to 46 matches the Rfam family "Eukaryotic small subunit ribosomal RNA", at positions 1786 to 1831 of the family's 1831-position model. The record is from RNAcentral. Lineage: Eukaryota; Fungi.
AAGUCGUAACAAGGUUUCCGUAGGUGAACCUGCGGAAGGAUCAUUAACACGUAUCCACGUUAAGUCACCGCGAAUUUCUUAGGAUGCUUCUUUGCUCUGUCUCUAUUCUCGACUUAGCGGUUGAAUUUAGGGACAUCAAGGAGGCUCCUUUGUUCUUACCCUUUCAGGAACAAAUCUUCGGAGGAGUUCCUGAUUGGGGAAUUGAAACCCCCUUUUUUCAUACUAAAGGCCGUCUCUUUGCAGACCGCUUUUAACCGAAUGCUGUACAACUCUUAGCAACGGAUAUCUUGGUUCUG